UUAUACCGUGAAACUGCGAAUGGCUCAUUAAAUCAGUUAUCGUUUAUUUGAUAGUACCUUACUACUUGGAUAACCGUGGUAAUUCUAGAGCUAAUACAUGCUGAAAACCCCGACUUCGGAAGGGGUGUAUUUAUUAGAUAAAAAACCAAUGCCCCUUCGGGGYUCCUUGGUGAUUCAUAAUAACUUCUCAGAUCGCAUGGCCUUGCGCCGGCGACGGUUCAUUCAAAUUUCUGCCCUAUCAACUUUCGAUGGUAAGGUAUUGGCUUACCAUGGUUUCAACGGGUAACGGGGAAUUAGGGUUCGAUUCCGGAGAAGGCGCCCGAGAAACGGCGGCUACAUCCAAGGAAGGCAGCAGGCGCGCAAAUUACCCAAUCCCGACACGGGGAGGUAGUGACAAUAAAUACUGAUACAGGGCUCUUUUGGGUCUUGUAAUUGGAAUGAGUACAAUUUAAACCUCUUAACGAGGAACAAUUGGAGGGCAAGUCUGGUGCCAGCAGCCGCGGUAAUUCCAGCUCCAAUAGCGUAUAUUAAAGUUGUUGCAGUUAAAAAGCUCGUAGUUGAACCUUUGGCCUGGCUGGCAGGUCCGCCUCACCGCGUGCACUUGUCCGGCCGGGCCUUCUUUUCUGGAGAACCGCAUGCCCUUCACUGGGUGUGUUGGGGACCAGGACUUUUACUUUGAAAAAAUUAGAGUGUUCAAAGCAGGCCUUUGCUCGAAUACGUUAGCAUGGAAUAAUAGAAUAGGACGUGCGGUCCUAUUUUGUUGGUUUCUAGGACCGCCGUAAUGAUUAAUAGGGACAGUCGGGGGCAUCAGUAUUCAAUUGUCAGAGGUGAAAUUCUUGGAUUUAUUGAAGACUAACUACUGCGAAAGCAUUUGCCAAGGAUGUUUUCAUUAAUCAGUGAACGAAAGUUAGGGGAUCGAAGACGAUCAGAUACCGUCGUAGUCUUAACCAUAAACUAUGCCGACUAGGGAUCGGGCGGUGUUAUUAUUUUGACUCGCUCGGCACCUUACGAGAAAUCAAAG
This 1021-nucleotide ribosomal RNA is filed under the name Lentithecium lineare. Its description in RNAcentral is "SSU rRNA". It matches the Rfam family "Eukaryotic small subunit ribosomal RNA", at positions 74 to 1114 of the family's 1831-position model. Lineage: Eukaryota; Fungi; Ascomycota; Dothideomycetes; Pleosporales; Lentitheciaceae. The record is from RNAcentral.